UCGAUGAAGAACGCAGCGAAAUGCGAUAAGUAAUGUGAAUUGCAGAAUUCAGUGAAUCAUCGAAUCUUUGAACGCACAUUGCGCCCCUUGGUAUUCCGAGGGGCAUGCCUGUUCGAGCGUCACUUCAACCUUCAAGCUCUGCUUGGUAUUGGGCACCGCCAGCAUCGGCGGGCCUUAAAAUCAGUGGCGGCGUCGCUAGGUCCUGAGCGUAGUAAUACUCCUCGCUACUGGAUGCUAGUAGAUGUCUGCCAUCAACCCCAACUCUUAAUGGUUGACCUCGGAUCAGGUAGGGAUACCCGCUGAACUUAA
RNAcentral lists this ribosomal RNA (309 nucleotides) under uncultured Ascomycota. RNAcentral's name for it is "eukaryotic LSU rRNA". The stretch from base 1 to 122 matches the Rfam family "5.8S ribosomal RNA", at positions 33 to 154 of the family's 154-position model. Lineage: Eukaryota; Fungi; Ascomycota. The record is from RNAcentral.